GGAAUAUUGGACAAUGGGGGCAACCCUGAUCCAGCGACGCCGCGUGGGUGAAGAAGGCCUGCGGGUUGUAAAGCCCUUUCGGUGGGGAAGAAAAGCCUCGACCUAAUACGUCGGGGUCUUGACGUAACCCACAAAAGAAGCACCGGAUAACUCUGUGCCAGCAGCCGCGGUAAUACAGAGGGUGCGAGCGUUAAUCGGAAUUACUGGGCGUAAAGCGCACGUAGGCGGCUCUGCAAGUCGGGUGUGAAAUCCCCGGGCUCAACCUGGGAACUGCAUUCGAUACUGCAUUGCUAGAGUAUGGGAGAGGGAAGUGGAAUUUCCUGUGUAGCGGUGAAAUGCGUAGAUAUAGGAAGGAACACCAGUGGCGAAGGCGACCACCUGGACUGAUACUGACACUGAGGUGCGAAAGCGUGGGGAGCAAAC
RNAcentral lists this ribosomal RNA (423 nucleotides) under uncultured bacterium. RNAcentral describes it as "bacterial SSU rRNA". It matches the Rfam family "Bacterial small subunit ribosomal RNA", at positions 358 to 773 of the family's 1533-position model. The record is from RNAcentral.